Molecule: ribosomal RNA, 483 nt
Filed under: uncultured bacterium
Lineage: Bacteria
Description: partial 16S ribosomal RNA
Rfam family: Bacterial small subunit ribosomal RNA
Source: RNAcentral
GACGAACGCUGGCGGCGUGCUUAACACAUGCAAGUGGAACGAUGAAGCGGGUGCUUGCACUCGUGGAUUAGUGGCGAACGGGCGAGUAACACGUGAGUAACCUGUCCUUUUCUUUGGGAUAACGGCUGGAAACGGCUGCUAAUACUGGAUAUUCAGGCUGCAUCGCAUGGUGUGGUUUGGAAAGGUUUUUUCUGGGAUUGGGUGGGCUCGCGGCCUAUCAGCUUGUUGAUGGGGUGAUGGCUUACCAAGGCUUUGACGGGUAGCCGGCCUGAGAGGGUGGUCGGUCGCACUGGGACUGAGAUACGGCCCAGACUCCUACGGGAGGCAGCAGUGGGGAAUAUUGCACAAUGGACGAAAGUUUGAUGCAGCGACGCCGCGUGGAGGGUGUAGGCCUUCGGGUUGUGAACUCCUUUUUCUCGCGAAAAAGGCACAGUUUUGGCUGUGUUGAUGGUAGUGGGGGAAGAAGCGCCGGCUAACUACGUG